AUUGAACGCUGGCGGCAUGCCUUACACAUGCAAGUCGAACGGCAGCACGGGGCAACCUGGUGGCGAGUGGCGAACGGGUGAGUAAUGCAUCGGAACGUACCUUUCAGUGGGGGAUAACGUAGCGAAAGUUACGCUAAUACCGCAUAUUCUGUGAGCAGGAAAGCAGGGGGUCGCAAGACCUUGCGCUGAUUGAGCGGCCGAUGUCAGAUUAGCUAGUUGGUGAGGUAAAGGCUCACCAAGGCGACGAUCUGUAGCGGGUCUGAGAGGAUGAUCAGCCGCACUGGAACUGAGAGACGGUCCGGACGCCUACGGGAGGCAGCAGAGGGGAAUUUUGGACAAUGGGGGCAACCCUGAUCCAGCGAUGCCGCGUGGUUGAAUAAGGCCUUCUGGUUGAAAAGCUCUUUCGGCCUGGAAGAAAUCCCACGGGCUAAUACCCUGUGUGGAUGACGGUACCGGAAUAAGAAGCACCGGCUAACUACGUGCAAGCCGCCGCCGUAA
This 498-nucleotide ribosomal RNA is filed under the name uncultured bacterium. Its description in RNAcentral is "partial 16S ribosomal RNA". It matches the Rfam family "Bacterial small subunit ribosomal RNA", at positions 30 to 523 of the family's 1533-position model. The record is from RNAcentral.